Molecule: transfer RNA, 60 nt
Filed under: Amynthas yambaruensis
Lineage: Eukaryota; Metazoa; Annelida; Clitellata; Crassiclitellata; Megascolecidae
Description: tRNA-Phe
Source: RNAcentral
AUUUAAGUAGCUUAAUUAAAGCACAUCCCUGAAGAAGAUGAGAUGAAUUUUCCUUAAAUA